GACGAACGCUGGCGGCGUGCUUAACACAUGCAAGUCGAACGGAAAGGCCCUGCUUUUGUGGGGUGCUCGAGUGGCGAACGGGUGAGUAACACGUGAGUAACCUGCCCUUGACUUUGGGAUAACUUCAGGAAACUGGGGCUAAUACCGGAUAGGAGCUCCUGCUGCAUGGUGGGGGUUGGAAAGUUUCGGCGGUUGGGGAUGGACUCGCGGCUUAUCAGCUUGUUGGCGGGGUAGUGGCUUACCAAGGCUUUGACGGGUAGCCGGCCUGAGAGGGUGACCGGCUACAUUGGGACUGAGAUACGGCCCAGACUCCUACGGGAGGCAGCAGUGGGGAAUAUUGCACAAUGGGCGGAAGCCUGAUGCAGCAACGCCGCGUGCGGGAUGACGGCCUUCGGGUUGUAAACCGCUUUCGCCUGUGACGAAGCGUGAGUGACGGUAAUGGGUAAAGAAGCACCGGCUAACUACGUG
RNAcentral lists this ribosomal RNA (468 nucleotides) under uncultured bacterium. RNAcentral describes it as "partial 16S ribosomal RNA". It matches the Rfam family "Bacterial small subunit ribosomal RNA", at positions 28 to 507 of the family's 1533-position model. The record is from RNAcentral.